UGGCGGUUGUGCAGCAAGAGAUCUUCCGAUAGUCAUCCGGAUUCACGGCACAAUACAACAUAUUGAUGGCCUUUGCGUUAUUUUCAAUCUUCUUGACGUCUUCGGCAUUAUAUUCAUCUUUUGGAACCAUGAUUUCCCCAACUUUCUUUGUCGGCAUUUGUUCACCGUUCUUGAUGAUAUGCCAUAAUCGAAAGUUAUUUGAUUGGAUGAAUAUUCUCAUCCUCUCUUUCCAAUAUGUAUAAUUGGUUCCAUCAAAUAGUGGAGGCCUAAUGGUAGAGUGUCCUUCGCUCAUCAUACCUGCGUUCAACAUUCUCAUCAAAA
RNAcentral lists this long non-coding RNA (321 nucleotides) under Nicotiana benthamiana. Its description in RNAcentral is "long non-coding RNA (NBEN_LNC017195)". Lineage: Eukaryota; Viridiplantae; Streptophyta; Magnoliopsida; Solanales; Solanaceae. The record is from RNAcentral.